Hemicordylus capensis (graceful crag lizard) is the source of this 978-nucleotide long non-coding RNA. RefSeq lists it as uncharacterized. The record is from RefSeq and is a predicted model, not a curated record. Lineage: Eukaryota; Metazoa; Chordata; Lepidosauria; Squamata; Cordylidae. The transcript has 3 exons.
GGAUGGCAGCCUGUAGUCCCUGGACGCAGACCCUGUAGUCACAGCUCUCUUUUGUUUCCAGGCCUGCUGGGUCUGGUAGCUGUAUAGAAGAGGCAAGUGGGUUCAUGUGACCAGAAAAGCAAGAUAUAUCUGAAGAACCAACAGUCCUAGGCAGGGGUGAAAACCCAGAAUCAAGUUGCUUGCCGUAAUGACUACCAUAAUAAAGCUUGCUGAUUGGACACGGGCUGUUCCGUCCUCUAUUGUGAACUAUUUCUUAAGCAAUCACUCUAACCUGUUAAACAACGUAUCAUCACAGAAUGAGCAUCUGUAGUCAGAUGGAAAUCUGUUCAUGAGAUUUGCACUGUGGAAUUUAACUCAUCCUUUCCUGGACAACCUUUACUCCAGACUUGAAAUUUAUUGAAGGAAAAAAUGGACUUUAUCCGAAACCUCCUUGGCAAGGGGCUAGUUAUGGGUCACUCAAAAUGACCUGUGAUUACUAUGCCAGUGAAUAAAAUGUCACAAGUAAUUCUGGAAAGGCUAAAGAAAAAACUAAUUGAAAGGCCCAAUCAGUAUGGAUUACAAGAAACUGCAUCUGUUUCUAAUAUAAUAUGAACACUCCACUUUAUAUUAUAUUGCACACAACAAGAUACAGACUCUGAAGUACAUUGACCUAUUUCUAGUAUUACAUAUGACACCACCCUUUGGAAGGAGGGCACCAUGCAUUUUGACCAAUAAUGAGUACUAUUGAGAUUUAAAUCUGAAUUACAAUUGCCCUGGCAGUUCAAGAAUGAAAUAGUGAGAACUGGUCUAAACCGUUUGUACACACUGCCAAGGUAUCAAGAUUGUUCAUCCUUUCCCAUUCUGUACAUUUAUUUAAUUGUGCAACUUUCUUCUUCUUCACACAUCUGAGAUAUUUAGACAUUCCAUAAGUGUCAAUUCCAUUCAGUUGCAAUGAAAUUCCCUAACAGGAUACAAUUGUUCAUAACUUUAGGAACUGUA